RNAcentral lists this ribosomal RNA (526 nucleotides) under uncultured bacterium. Its description in RNAcentral is "bacterial SSU rRNA". It matches the Rfam family "Bacterial small subunit ribosomal RNA", at positions 984 to 1509 of the family's 1533-position model. The record is from RNAcentral.
ACAUCCAGAGAAUUUAGCAGAGAUGCUUUAGUGCCUUCGGGAACUCUGAGACAGGUGCUGCAUGGCUGUCGUCAGCUCGUGUUGUGAAAUGUUGGGUUAAGUCCCGCAACGAGCGCAACCCUUAUCCUUUGUUGCCAGCACGUAAUGGUGGGAACUCAAAGGAGACUGCCGGUGAUAAACCGGAGGAAGGUGGGGAUGACGUCAAGUCAUCAUGGCCCAUACGAGUAGGGCUACACACGUGCUACAAUGGCGUAUACAAAGAGAAGCGACCUCGCGAGAGCAAGCGGACCUCAUAAAGUGCGUCGUAGUCCGGAUUGGAGUCUGCAACUCGACUCCAUGAAGUCGGAAUCGCUAGUAAUCGUAAAUCAGAAUGUUACGGUGAAUACGUUCCCGGGCCUUGUACACACCGCCCGUCACACCAUGGGAGUGGGUUGCAAAAGAAGUAGAUAGCUUAACCUUCGGGAGGGCGUUUACCACUUUGUGAUUCAUGACUGGGGUGAAGUCGUAACAAGGUAAGCGUAGUGCU